UUUAAAUAAACAUAUUUUCUCUCUACUUUACUUUCAUUUUUGAAUUUUCAUUCUUUCAUUCUUAAAAAUCAUCAGGACAAAAUUAUAUAUAUAUAUAAAAUUCUCGUUUCAAAUCAAAGAAGAUAAAUUCAAGAAUUGGAAGCACAGAAAAACAAAUAAAUAUUUAAUUCAAUAUGCCCAUUUUAAAAUCUUGCUUAUUUUGCUUUUCUCCAAGGACUGGGAGUAUGUUGUCUGCAAUUCUCAGCAUGAUUAUUUCCAUGAUUACAGCCUGUAUGGUAAUAUACAAUUUGGCAGUCUCUUACGCGAAAACCCCACUCUUUAUUUAUGAGUGGGCAUUCAUAAUUUUCUCCAUUUUCGGGAUUACCGCAUCAUUAUUAUUAAUAAGAGGCGUUAGACAACAAAAUCGGAAAUACUUUUGGCCAUGGAUGGUGAAUAAUGUAAUCGUAAUAAUUAUAGUCUUGAUUUCUAUAUUAUUUGUUGCUUCGCUUAGUACAGUGGCUCCUAAACCUAGGGGAACCUAAGGACCGACAAAGUGAAAAUUUGAAAAAACGUUACCUCUCUAAAUUUUGACCCUUUCAGCUGUAAUGAUCGUAUCGAUGCCUAGGAUUAUAGGAAAAUUGGGAGACACAAAACGGUGUGCUACUCUUCGUAAUAUAUUUAAUUAUCAGCAUGGUCUUUGCGCUUUUUUGGAUUUACGGUUUGCUCUGCGUCAUAUCUCAUUACCAAGAGCUAGGGUUAGGGGGUUGAAAAGGAUAAAGGAACGAUAUUUUCGAAAAUGAUACGAUAAUAACCUAUAAAAGCAUCGAAUCUAAACAUCUGUAACAAAUAUAAUAUUAUAAUUCGUUUUAUAAUACUACAAUUAAUUUCCCUUUUUAUUUAAAAAAAAUAAAUUAUAAUGGUGUUUUUUAUAUUUGUUUUUUAUGUUCUUUUUAAAGAAGGAUAUCAAAGUAUUAUAAUAUAUCUACUUAUAUUUUUUCAAUUCGAAAUUUGUAUUCCAUUUACUAUUUUAUAGCUCAGGAUCACAAUUUGGUGUUGUAUAAGAAUAAAAUUGUUUUUUUUAUAAACUCAAUCUGACAUUAGAAAAAUGUUUAAAAAUCACAUGAAAAGACAAGGUUUUUAUAGUGGUACCUAAUCGCGACGAAGCUUUAGCGAUGCUAAGAAUAUGGAUCAAUAUUAAACCCUAUGUGCAAAUUGUCUCAUCGCAAACCCUCAACACCAACAAUAAAUUUUUCAUUAUUUACACUUGAUUUUGUAUCUUAAGCAUUGAGAUUAGUGAUCUGCAUAGGGCCUAAUUUUUCAUUUAU
This is an RNA transcript of Gordionus sp. m RMFG-2023, 1304 nucleotides long. RefSeq lists it as uncharacterized. NCBI's taxonomy places the organism in Eukaryota, Metazoa, Nematomorpha, Gordioida, Chordodea, Parachordodidae. The record is from RefSeq and is a predicted model, not a curated record. The transcript is spliced from 7 exons.